UGAGGCCUACGGGGCGCAGCAGUGGGGAAUAUUGGGCAAUGGGCGCAAGCCUGACCCAGCAACGCCGCGUGAAGGAAGAAGGCUUUCGGGUUGUAAACUUCUUUUCUCAGGGACGAACAGAUGACGGUACCUGAGGAAUAAGCCACGGCUAACUACGUGCCAGCAGCCGCGGUAAUACGUAGGUGGCAAGCGUUAUCCGGAUCUACUGGGUGUAAAGGGCGUGUAGGCGGGGACGCAAGUCAGAUGUGAAAACCACGGGCUCAACCUGUGGCCUGCAUUUGAAACUGUGUUUCUUGAGUAAUGGG
This 305-nucleotide ribosomal RNA is filed under the name uncultured bacterium. Its description in RNAcentral is "bacterial SSU rRNA". It matches the Rfam family "Bacterial small subunit ribosomal RNA", at positions 333 to 653 of the family's 1533-position model. The record is from RNAcentral.